CAGCAAUCCAGUCAUAGCAGAAACAAAAAUAUUAUGAUAUUCAUGGGUGAUGAUAUUGUCUACAAUUGUCUUGGGAUAAUUUAUUUAUUUACUUACUUACUUACCUAUCAAUCUGAUACUUAGGUAUCAAAUUAACUUACCUCCCUUAUAAUUUUCAGAAAACUUUUGUAGGUGUAAUACUGCGGAUUGUCCAGCAGGUGUCACAAUUGUGGCAGUAAGGCAGGUCUAGAUCAGGGACCUAUGAGACCAAAAAUUUUUAAAAGCGGCACACCUUCAUAUGGAGACAAUUGAGUCAAAAGACUCAGAGCUUGCAGGUAAUUGCCAACUGUGAAGUUACGGGUGGAUUUUGGGCCAGUGGUUCUCAUGGAUCCAUUCUGGGAAUGCAAGCCUGUGUUCUAGGUGCAGGGAUAGAGCUCAGCCUGAUCAGAGCAGGCCAGACAGCAGCGGGACCUCAGAAGCAGAUUUUAGCUUGGGAAGCAACAAUGAGCCACAGGGGUAAGAGAAGCCACGGAGGUGUUGCCGCAGGAAUCUGCAGGCAUCAGUUACUCAGCCACUUAGCUGGCAGGACUGAGCCACACAGGGGUAGGAGGGCUAGAAAUUACCAAGUCCCUACUGUGGAUCAGCCACCCCAUUCCUCGUUCAGCUGAGCCAGCUCGAUAAUUCAGCUACAGAGGGUUAGUUCAGCUCCAUGGGGUGGGAGGAGGCCCUAGCGGGUCUGAGCAGGGACAGGCAAUGUUGUGGAUUCAGGCCACAUUGUCGCCAAACUGUAGUAGUACCAAAGAGUUCCACAAUAGCCCUGAAAGGAGUAUUAACAAAGGUUUAUUUAUUUGGGGAUAAACUCACAGUAAGGGUAGUGAUCCACAGUCCUCUGUGAGCACUGGGAACUGGAACCGAAUCCAGCAGAAAAAAGGGUCACAUAUGAUUUAAUGCAGUUAAAGUACAUGAGACCACGCCCAGAGUGGGCCAGUAUCUUAAAGUCUAUUGGCUGAAGGAGUUCCCACAACACAGGGGCUGCUGGGAUCAACAAGUCUGAGAGCUGGGAUUCUGGCAGCGAGGCUCCAGCCACUAUGCAGUUCAGAGGUUGGGAACAGAGCAGGUUGUUAGCUAUAAGAAUCUAAUCAUUCAGAACAGAAAUAUCUUUGUGUAUAACUAAUUCAUGGGAAAACCCAGUGCAUUUUAGUUGCAGAAACAAGAUACCAAAGUGGGUGGAGGAAAAGCCAUGCACAGGUCUAGAAUAAAGUGAAAUGUGUCUGCGCAGGUCCAAGACAACCCAUAUUGAACAUUGAGGAUUUUAGACGUCCUGACCUUCCGGUGACCUGUGGUGAUGCUCAGGGGACUCUGUAUGUGGAGAAACUUCCGCAAGGCACCCAUGAGAAGAGUAUAUGCACUGAGAAUGGAGAGUGGCUCACUCUCAGGGAGUUUGAAAUCAGAGGAAACCGUGAAAGAUCCAAGAACUGGAGGCAAAGCAUAUGUUGUCGAGGAUGGACCCUGGGAUCCUUAAUAAAGGGAAAGAAGAGUGUGAGAAACAAGCCCUCAGAAUGUCUAAAAUUUUGGACGAUCAAGUGGCAUCCCUUGUCUGAGCUCACUGUAAAAAUCACCAGGACAGGAAAACUGGAUCUAAAUGUUUCCUUGACUCACUGUGGGGCACAUGAGGAGUAAUAUCCAUGAAGACAGCUUGUAUUUAACAAGGUUACAGACAGACAGAAAUAUCUAGAAGAUGGUGAGAAAUACCUCAAUCACAAACUAAAAGCAAAGACCCUCCCAUCAUUAACUCUCUGUCUUUCACGGAGGAAUUCUACCAGACUCACCUAGGACAAAGGGACAGGGGGAAAACCAAACAAGCCCCGAGUGAACAAAGAAAAACGUAACUGCUCCAUGAUCUUCUGCCAUGAUGUCAGAGGCCAUUAACUACAAAUUAUUAAUU
Alexandromys fortis (reed vole) is the source of this 1924-nucleotide long non-coding RNA. RefSeq lists it as uncharacterized. NCBI's taxonomy places the organism in Eukaryota, Metazoa, Chordata, Mammalia, Rodentia, Cricetidae. The transcript has 4 exons. The record is from RefSeq and is a predicted model, not a curated record.